This is a long non-coding RNA of Tupaia belangeri chinensis (Chinese tree shrew), 722 nucleotides long. RefSeq lists it as uncharacterized. The transcript has 4 exons. Lineage: Eukaryota; Metazoa; Chordata; Mammalia; Scandentia; Tupaiidae. The record is from RefSeq and is a predicted model, not a curated record.
UCCGGCCCCGCCCACACCGGUCGCGCUCUGCUCUGGAGCCCGCGCCACAGGGCCUUGGGUGCAGAGCAAGUCCGAGUUAAAACUCUCAAACGCUGGUAAUUUGUCUGGCUUUCAUUUUUGUUCAUCUCUUUUUGGGAUGCGUCAUUAAGAUUGUGAGCUUAAGGAUGAUGGCUUCGAAUGCCUUGAGUACCUGCGUGCCUUUUCUUUUAUAAGCUAUUUAACGUGCAGUGCCUUCUAUCUGAAAGCCUGAUUUAUUUGAGACGCAUUAAGGUCAUUUGGGGUGAUGGCUGUGCAGUUUUCGAGAGGACAGAAAAUGCAAGUUGCUUUUGUCUUCUGGUGACUUUGAAGGACCAUAAAAUGAACAAAAGCAGGAUUCUGCAGAGCCGACAACAUGGAGGUGAGCGGCACCUGGGAGGCCUUGAUGAUAAUGCAGGAGAGAGCGGCAAUACCAAAGCUCAAAGGGGUUGAAGUCCAGACUUAAGACCAUGAAGUUAAGAAGUAGCGACACUUCUAGUCAUGAUAAGUAUAAGAAGAAAAUUGAACCUGGGAAAGACAAAGUAAUUUUUCAAGAUAUGUGAGUAAUAAAUGGUAGAACAACUAUUUGAUACUAAUUCAGACUUCUUCGCCCUACGGCUCCACUUUUUCUCUGCAUUGUUAUUUUUAUGGUUUGAAUUCACAAACACAGUAUUUUCCCACUACUUACAGCCAGAACUUUUGACCUU